Molecule: ribosomal RNA, 305 nt
Filed under: uncultured bacterium
Lineage: Bacteria
Description: bacterial SSU rRNA
Rfam family: Bacterial small subunit ribosomal RNA
Source: RNAcentral
CCUACGGGAGGCAGCAGUAGGGAAUCUUCCACAAUGGACGAAAGUCUGAUGGAGCAACGCCGCGUGAGUGAAGAAGGGUUUCGGCUCGUAAAGCUCUGUUGGUAGUGAAGAAAGAUAGAGGUAGUAACUGGCCUUUAUUUGACGGUAAUUACUUAGAAAGUCACGGCUAACUACGUGCCAGCAGCCGCGGUAAUACGUAGGUGGCAAGCGUUGUCCGGAUUUAUUGGGCGUAAAGCGAGUGCAGGCGGGUCAAUAAGACUUAUGUGGAAGCCUUCGGCGCAACCGGAGGAAUGCAUUAGAAACUG